UACGGAGGGUGCAAGCGUUAUCCGGAUUCACUGGGUUUAAAGGGGGCGUAGGUGGGUUGGUAAGUCAGUGGUGAAAUCCCCGAGCUUAACUUGGGAACUGCCAUUGAUACUAUCAGUCUUGAAUACCGUGGAGGUUAGCGGAAUAUGCCAUGUAGCGGUGAAAUGCUUAGAUAUGACAUAGAAUACCAAUUGCGAAGGCAGCUCACUAAGCAAAUAUUGACGCUGAGGCACGAAAGCGUGGGGAUCAAACAGG
Molecule: ribosomal RNA, 253 nt
Filed under: uncultured bacterium
Lineage: Bacteria
Description: partial 16S ribosomal RNA
Rfam family: Bacterial small subunit ribosomal RNA
Source: RNAcentral